Homo sapiens (human) is the source of this 1828-nucleotide long non-coding RNA. Ensembl annotates it as SLC38A4 antisense RNA 1. Its record names the gene SLC38A4-AS1. The record is from Ensembl. NCBI's taxonomy places the organism in Eukaryota, Metazoa, Chordata, Mammalia, Primates, Hominidae.
GGGGAAGCAGAGGGGACGAUGAGUUGACUUUUGCUGAUGGAGCCUCUCUGAAGGGCAAAUUCAAAGUACAGCUGGGUGCUGCAGCACUGGAGUGCGAACUUGUGGCUGUGGUUAUGAAGGAGCCUCGUCAGCUAUGCCUUUAGCCCCUGGUGAAGCAGUGCCAGUCACACUUUGCCAGUCAAACGGAGAGGCAGCAGUAGUAAGACCAGACCAAAUCAAACCAAACCAAGCAAACCACGGGGAAUGGAGGUCAUGUGAGCACACAGCAUAAAGGCAGCUGCCCACAAGCCAGGAAGAGAAGCAUCAUCAGAAACCGACCAUACUGGCUUCCUGAUCUCAGACUUUCAGCCUCCAGAAUGGACCUGAUGAUUGAUUUAGCAUCUUUGGCAUCCGGCCACUGCUCUGCUUGGCCAUACUGCUGCCUUCACCCUCAGCUGUUGCAACUCUUUUGGCCACUUUGUGUAACUGCCCUGCCAAGCCCUGCUUCCUGGCUGUCCAAAGAAAGAAGUGUUUCCUACAGGAGAUCACAACAAAAGGAUGAAAUCUGGGGUGCAGGGGAAGGGUAGCUUCUGAAGCUGGAAAAUAAAGAAGUAAGGAAGGGAGACUGUGGAAUUUACCAGGGAGGGAAACUAAUAUUUCCUUUCAUAUAAGUUGGUACUAUUCUGGCUUUUUACCAUGAUCAUAUAUUAUAUUCAAAAUAAAGCUCUUGUUUUUGAAACAAAAAAAUAUAAACAAAGGAAGGAAGGAUGUUCAUUUAUUUAGAUAAUAGAUACCUAGUGAACCCCUAGUAGACCUUGUACUGGGUCCUGGGGACACUGGUGACCAGGUUCCAUUCCUGAUCUCCUGGAGCAGGGGACACGAAAAGACAUUAAGCAAAUAAUUACACAUCUUUUUACAUCAGUACAAAUGUUGGGACUUUGCAAGAGUUCCACCCUGAAAGCUUCUGUUUUCACUGAAAGAGAGGAGGCAAGGUCAUUUGUUCAUAAAAGCAAUGGAAUUGAGUAGGGGACUUGAAAGAAAUGAUGAGGCUAGGAAAAGCAGCUAUAGGAAAGGGGGCACCAGUCAGACUAAGAAUAUGUAACCAGAGCACAGCUGUGCAUACUUUGCUUGAAUGUCUCCAAGUUCAAAUCCAAGAACUUGAUAUUUUAGGUUGAUUCUAUGUGUAACCUAUUUGUUUUUAAAGAGUAGAGUCUUUUUCUUCCAGCAUGUGUUAGUUAGCCCUGUCUUUAUCACAUCACCACCACCAAUUGUCAUUUGCAGAAGUAUCUUCAACUCAUCAUAAAUUUACUAGUAAUAGCUAACUCAUGUCUAUAGAACUGUUAAGUGACAAGAUAAUAUUUAGAUUAAAAGCUAUAGUUGCAUUCUUAUUAGAGACUUAAUCAGAUUUUAACAUGCUCCUCACAGGGGCCAUUUAGCCCUAUUCUGCUGGGCUUUGGCAAGCACUGAAUGAUUGCCCUCCUAGGGCAGAGGUACUGCAGCCCUGGUUAAGCAUUGAAAAGAUGAUAUUACCAAUAAGUUGACUCUAAUUGUAAACAACAUAUUUAAACAAUUACAUCUUAAUUAAAUUCUUAUAAAUUAUAAGUGCCUCAGAACUUUCUUUCUUAAUCUCAAAUGCAUGUUUCUUAAAAUCAUUCACUAUUUUAUGAGAAUAUAUUUGCUGAAUAUUAGAAAAAAGAGUUAAAAAUAAAAGGCAUUUCUAAAAUUUUUUCUUGUAUGAAAUAUGCUUUCUUUUAUUUAUAAAUCAUUGGUUUUAUCUUCUAUAUAGUGAAUUUCUAAAGGGAUUUAAUGUUUGAUAUUGAAUUGUAUACUAAAAUAAGGUUGUUUUAGA